RNAcentral lists this ribosomal RNA (3173 nucleotides) under Arthrobacter psychrochitiniphilus. Its description in RNAcentral is "23S ribosomal RNA". It matches the Rfam family "Bacterial large subunit ribosomal RNA". The record is from RNAcentral. Lineage: Bacteria; Bacillati; Actinomycetota; Actinomycetes; Micrococcales; Micrococcaceae.
GGUCAAGUUUUUAAGGGCACACGGUGGAUGCCUUGGCAUUAGGAGCCGAAGAAGGACGUAGGAAUCUGCGAUAAGCCUCGGGGAGUUGAUAACCAAACUUUGAUCCGAGGGUGUCCGAAUGGGGGAACCCCGCUACCCGGUGUAAGCCGAGGUGGUGACCUGCACCUGAAUAUAUAGGGUGUGUGGAGGGAACGUGGGGAAGUGAAACAUCUCAGUACCCACAGGAAGAGAAAACAAUAGUGAUUCCGUUAGUAGUGGCGAGCGAACGCGGAUCAGGCUAAACCGUGUCAUGUGUGAUAGCCGGCGGGCGUUGCAUGGUGCGGGGUUGUGGGACUUACCGAUCUAGUUCUGCCGGACUAGGAAGGGGAAUGGUGCAUGUAUAGGUGAACGGUUUUGAAUGGCCGACCGUAGAGGGUGAGAGUCCCGUAACUGAAAUGCAGUGCACUCCCUGGUGAGUAUCCCAAGUAGCACGGGGCCCGAGAAAUCCCGUGUGAAUCUGUCAGGACCACCUGAUAAGCCUAAAUACUACCUAAUGACCGAUAGCGGACAAGUACCGUGAGGGAAAGGUGAAAAGUACCCCGGGAGGGGAGUGAAAUAGUACCUGAAACCGUGUGCUUACAAUCCGUCAGAGCAAGCGUGCCCCUUUGGGGUAGUUGUUCUUGUGAUGGCGUGCCUUUUGAAGAAUGAGCCUGCGAGUUAGUGUUACGUCGCGAGGUUAACCCGUGUGGGGAAGCCGUAGCGAAAGCGAGUCUGAAUAGGGCGAGUUUAGUGGCGUGAUCUAGACCCGAAGCGAAGUGAUCUACCCAUGGCCAGGUUGAAGCGCGUGUAAGAGCGCGUGGAGGACCGAACCCACUUCAGUUGAAAAUGGAGGGGAUGAGCUGUGGGUAGGGGUGAAAGGCCAAUCAAACUUCGUGAUAGCUGGUUCUCCCCGAAAUGCAUUUAGGUGCAGCGUUGCGUGUUUCUUACUGGAGGUAGAGCUACUGGAUGGCUAAUGGGCCCUACAAGGUUACUGACGUCAGCCAAACUCCGAAUGCCGGUAAGUCAGAGCGUAGCAGUGAGACUGUGGGGGAUAAGCUUCAUAGUCGAGAGGGAAACAGCCCAGACCACCAACUAAGGCCCCUAAGCGUGUGCUAAGUGGGAAAGGAUGUGGGAUUGCUUAGACAACCAGGAGGUUGGCUUAGAAGCAGCCAUCCUUAAAAGAGUGCGUAAUAGCUCACUGGUCAAGUGAUUCCGCGCCGACAAUGUAGCGGGGCUCAAGUACACCGCCGAAGUUGUGGAUUUCAAACAUUACCCUAACAGCACAGUUUACUGUUCUUGUUCAGGGGUUUGGAGUGGUAGGGGAGCGUCGUGUAGGCAUUGAAGCCGCAGUGUGAACUAGCGGUGGAGCCUACACGAGUGAGAAUGCAGGCAUGAGUAGCGAAAGACGGGUGAGAAACCCGUCCGCCGAAUGAUCAAGGGUUCCAGGGUCAAGCUAAUCUGCCCUGGGUAAGUCGGGACCUAAGGCGAGGCCGACAGGCGUAGUCGAUGGACAACGGGUUGAUAUUCCCGUACCGGUGAAGAACCGCCAAUAUUGAACCAGUGAUACUAACCACCCAAAACACCACUGCGUGUCCUUCGGGACCAGGGUGUGUGUGGAGCGUGGGAUCUGAACUGGGGAGGUAAACGUAUUAACAGGUGUGACGCAGGAAGGUAGCCGAGCCGGGCGAUGGUAGUCCCGGUCUAAGGACGUAGGAAACACGAUAGGCAAAUCCGUUGUGUUGUCUUCAAUGACGAUUCUGAGAUCUGAUGGGACCCCCUUACGGGGGAAUUCGGUGAUCCUAUGCUGCCUAGAAAAGCAUCGACGUGAGGUUCUAACUGCCCGUACCCCAAACCGACACAGGUGAUCAGGUAGAGAAUACUAAGGCGAUCGAGAGAAUUAUGGUUAAGGAACUCGGCAAAAUGCCCCCGUAACUUCGGGAGAAGGGGGGCCUGCCUCGUGAAGGACACUAGCUGUCCGUGAGCGAGUGUGGGCCGCAGAGACCAGGGGGAAGCGACUGUUUACUAAAAACACAGGUCCGUGCGAAGUCGCAAGACGAUGUAUACGGACUGACUCCUGCCCGGUGCUGGAAGGUUAAGAGGACCGGUUAGCACACUUGUGUGCGAAGCUGAGAAUUUAAGCCCCAGUAAACGGCGGUGGUAACUAUAACCAUCCUAAGGUAGCGAAAUUCCUUGUCGGGUAAGUUCCGACCUGCACGAAUGGAGUAACGACUUCCCCGCUGUCUCAACCAUAAACUCGGCGAAAUUGCAGUACGAGUAAAGAUGCUCGUUACGCGCAGCAGGACGGAAAGACCCCGAGACCUUUACUAUAGUUUGGUAUUGGUGUUCGGAGUGGCUUGUGUAGGAUAGGUGGGAGACUGUGAAACCGCAACGCUAGUUGUGGUGGAGUCAUCGUUGAAAUACCACUCUGGUCACUUUGGACAUCUAACUUCGGCCCGUAAUCCGGGUCAGGGACAGUGCCUGAUGGGUAGUUUAACUGGGGCGGUUGCCUCCUAAAAAGUAACGGAGGCGCCCAAAGGUUCCCUCAGCCUGGUUGGCAAUCAGGUUUCGAGUGUAAGUGCACAAGGGAGCUUGACUGUGAGAGGGACACCUCGAGCAGGGACGAAAGUCGGGACUAGUGAUCCGGCGGCACAUUGUGGAAUGGCCGUCGCUCAACGGAUAAAAGGUACCUCGGGGAUAACAGGCUGAUCUUGCCCAAGAGUCCAUAUCGACGGCAUGGUUUGGCACCUCGAUGUCGGCUCGUCGCAUCCUGGGGCUGGAGUAGGUCCCAAGGGUUGGGCUGUUCGCCCAUUAAAGCGGUACGCGAGCUGGGUUUAGAACGUCGUGAGACAGUUCGGUCCCUAUCCGCUGCGCGCGCAGGAAAUUUGAGAAGAGCUGUCCUUAGUACGAGAGGACCGGGACGGACGAACCUCUGGUGUGUCAGUUGUACUGCCAAGUGCAUCGCUGAUUAGCUACGUUCGGAAGGGAUAACCGCUGAAAGCAUCUAAGCGGGAAGCCCACUUCAAGAUGAGAUUUCCAUACACAGUUAUGUGUGAGAGGCCCCCAGCUAGACCACUGGGUUGAUAGGCCGGACGUGGAAGCGAGGACUAAAGACUCGUGAAGCUGACCGGUACUAAUAGGCCGAUAACUUACACCAC